UGGGCUGUGGCUCAGUGGUAGGGCACUUGUCUUGCAUAUGGGAGGCACUGGGUUUGAUUCUCAGCACCGCAU
Non-coding RNA from Ictidomys tridecemlineatus (thirteen-lined ground squirrel), 72 nucleotides. Lineage: Eukaryota; Metazoa; Chordata; Mammalia; Rodentia; Sciuridae. The record is from Rfam.